Molecule: ribosomal RNA, 468 nt
Filed under: uncultured bacterium
Lineage: Bacteria
Description: partial 16S ribosomal RNA
Rfam family: Bacterial small subunit ribosomal RNA
Source: RNAcentral
GACGAACGCUGGCGGCGUGCUUAACACAUGCAAGUCGAACGGAAAGGCCCUGCUUUUGUGGGGUGCUCGAGUGGCGAACGGGUGAGUAACACGUGAGUAACCUGCCCUUGACUUUGGGAUAACUUCAGGAAACUGGGGCUAAUACCGGAUAGGAGCUCCUGCUGCAUGGUGGGGGUUGGAACGUUUCGGCGGUUGGGGAUGGACUCGCGGCUUAUCAGCUUGUUGGUGGGGUUGUGGCUUACCAAGGCUUUGACGGGUAGCCGGCCUGAGAGGGUGACCGGCCACAUUGGGACUGAGAUACGACCCAGACUCCUACGGGAGGCAGCAGAGGAGAAUAGUGCACAAUGGGCGGAAGCCUGAUGCAGCAACGCCGCGUGCGGGAUGACGGCCUUCGGGUUGUAAACCGCUUUCGCCUGUGACGAAGCGAGAGUGACGGUAAUGGGUAAAGAAGCACCGGCUAACUACGUG